Molecule: long non-coding RNA, 214 nt
Filed under: Elaeis guineensis (African oil palm)
Lineage: Eukaryota; Viridiplantae; Streptophyta; Magnoliopsida; Arecales; Arecaceae
Description: long non-coding RNA (EGUI_LNC049326)
Source: RNAcentral
GGAUGGCUUAGAGGAGAUAGAGGAUGAGAAGGAUAAAUAGAUGAGGAGGAAGGAGAGAAAGUGAAAGGAAAGGAAUAGGUGGAGGUGAAGGGAGCUACCAUAGAAGAGGAGAAAUGGAUGAGGAAGGAGAAGAGGAGGAAGGAGGGAGAAAGAGGGAUGUUGGUGAUGGAGGAGGGGAUCAAUCAGAGAGGAAGGAGAAAGAUGAUGGAAAUAA